Molecule: ribosomal RNA, 247 nt
Filed under: uncultured bacterium
Lineage: Bacteria
Description: partial 16S ribosomal RNA
Rfam family: Bacterial small subunit ribosomal RNA
Source: RNAcentral
UGAAGCGAGACGGCGACGUUAAGCAAAUCACAAAAAACCCAGUCCCAGUUCGGAUUGUAGGCUGCAACUCGCCUACAUGAAGUCGGAGUUGCUAGUAAUCGCGGAUCAGAAUGCCGCGGUGAAUGCGUUCCCGGGUCUUGUACACACCGCCCGUCACACCAUGGAAGUUGGGGGCGCCCGAAGCCGGCAAGCAAAUAUGCUGUCUAAGGCAAAACCAAUGACUGGGGUGAAGUCGUAACAAGGUACC